UGUUGUUUGGUGUAUACAGGAAGGG
This 25-nucleotide non-coding RNA is filed under the name Rattus norvegicus (Norway rat). The record is from RNAcentral. Lineage: Eukaryota; Metazoa; Chordata; Mammalia; Rodentia; Muridae.